AACGAACGCUGGCGGCAGGCUUAACACAUGCAAGUCGAGCGCAUCCUUCGGGGUGAGCGGCAGACGGGUGUGUAACGCGUGGGAAUCUACCUUUUGCUACGGAAUAGCUCCGGGAAACUGGAAUUAAUACCGUAUGUGCCCUUAGGGGGAAAGAUUUAUCGGCAAGAGAUGAGCCCGCGUUGGAUUAGCUAGUUGGUGGGGUAAAGGCCUACCAAGGCGACGAUCCAUAGCUGGUCUGAGAGGAUGAUCAGCCACAUUGGGACUGAGACACGGCCCAAACUCCUACGGGAGGCAGCAGUGGGGAAUAUUGGACAGUGGGCGCAAGCCUGAUCCAGCCAUGCCGCGUGAGUGAUGAAGGCCUUAGGGUUGUAAAGCUCUUUCGCCGGAGAAGAUAAUGACGGUAUCCGGAGAAGAAGCCCCGGCUAACUUCGUG
RNAcentral lists this ribosomal RNA (433 nucleotides) under uncultured bacterium. Its description in RNAcentral is "partial 16S ribosomal RNA". It matches the Rfam family "Bacterial small subunit ribosomal RNA", at positions 29 to 507 of the family's 1533-position model. The record is from RNAcentral.